AUUGAACGCUGGCGGCAGGCCUAACACAUGCAAGUCGAACGGUAACAGGAAGCAGCUUGCUGCUUUGCUGACGAGUGGCGGACGGGUGAGUAAUGUCUGGGAAACUGCCUGAUGGAGGGGGAUAACUACUGGAAACGGUAGCUAAUACCGCAUAACGUCGCAAGACCAAAGAGGGGGACCUUCGGGCCUCUUGCCAUCGGAUGUGCCCAGAUGGGAUUAGCUAGUAGGUGGGGUAACGGCUCACCUAGGCGACGAUCCCUAGCUGGUCUGAGAGGAUGACCAGCCACACUGGAACUGAGACACGGUCCAGACUCCUACGGGAGGCAGCAGUGGGGAAUAUUGCGCAAUGGGCGCAAGCCUGAUGCAGCCAUGCCGCGUGUAUGAAGAAGGCCUUCGGGUUGUAAAGUACUUUCAGCGGGGAGGAAGGGAGUAAAGUUAAUACCUUUACUCAUUGACGUUACCCGCAGAAGAAGCACCGGCUAACUCCGUG
This 490-nucleotide ribosomal RNA is filed under the name uncultured bacterium. RNAcentral's name for it is "partial 16S ribosomal RNA". It matches the Rfam family "Bacterial small subunit ribosomal RNA", at positions 30 to 507 of the family's 1533-position model. The record is from RNAcentral.